This 2681-nucleotide long non-coding RNA is filed under the name Nicotiana tabacum (common tobacco). RNAcentral describes it as "long non-coding RNA (NTAB_LNC003125)". The record is from RNAcentral. Lineage: Eukaryota; Viridiplantae; Streptophyta; Magnoliopsida; Solanales; Solanaceae.
GGGGAUGCUGUUAUUAUUGGCUAGGUCUAUUGGAACGGUUAUAUUCUCUAUUGCAAUAAUUCGCAAUUGUAAUUUUUGAUAUUUAUGGAAGCAAAAUGAGGAAUAUUUUCCUACGCAAUGAAAUUUUAUACACCAUAACUUAUAUAAACCACGAAAUAAAAUUAAAAUAUCCAACUAGCAUUAUCCAUAAACAAAAACAAAAUAUGAAUACAUUGUUUGAUCAACAAUUCAAAAGUUAAAAUAUAUGAGUUUGCAUACAAAAAUAAAGCUCUAAACUAAAAUAUCCUUGAACAUGAUAAUAGAAAGUCUAACAACGAUCAACAACACUCAAGUAAGGUCUUCAUCACUGCUUUCAUUCGCAAUCGCUGCACAUGCAAAAGACAAUUUAGAAAUAAUUAAACAUUUUUUUAAGAUAAUUGAAUGACAAUUAAGUGUGCACCAAAGCAGUCGAGGUGCAGCAACAAGUGAAUGGACAGUCAAAUAUGCAGAUAGUUACAGGUGUGCAGGAGAAGAGAGCUGGGGUGCACAAGGCUGUGUGUUCAAAUUUUGGUGUAAUUGAUGAUCGAGCUAAUUCAUUAAUCAAAACAAUCGAGGUGAAACAACAUGUUCUGGAUAAAACAUAUGGUAAAGAUGUGAAUGAAGAUGCUGGGCAACUUCAACAGGUGGUUCAUGAUAAAUCUGGACAAAGUUCAACAGUAGCAGCUCGAUUCCUUGGUGUUUCUAAUGGGACUAAAGAUGAUAAGAAUGAGAAGGCAACUAACACAAGUUCUCGAGAAAUUCCUAAAUAUCAUAACCAGGUCUCUAAGGAUGCAAAACCUAUAGAAAAAGGUGCACAAAAUAAGUUUUUUUACCAGCUUUCUCAUGUAAAUAUAAGUGUGAAACAAAGUUCUUAGUCACUAAGUACACCGAUACAACUUGCAAUAGAUACUGCAAUACAGAAACUGUCACCAUUGGUGCUGCAAUACGAGUCAACUUCUUCAGUUCUUCAUAAUAAGUAUCCCAUUCCCUUGUUAUUAUCCAUCUGCUGUUCUCUCCAUUUUCCAGCCAUUUAAACCAGACUGUUAAACUUUUGAGAACAACCUUCUUUUUAUUGAAGGCAUGGAAGCAAAAUCAAUAUAAUCGCACAUGAUUCGUUUUCACUAUCUAAGCUCUCAAGUGCUUUGGCUAAAAUUAACCAAAAGAUAAUGAUCCUACAAUGCACAAAAUAAAUGAGCAGAAUCUUGUUUAGAAGAUGUAUUGAGACCAAAUUCUAAACACUUAUCAUAUAGGACAAGAAACUAAGGAUGAAGAACUCCUACAACAACUACUACUACGCCUCAAUUACAAGCAAGUUGAAGUUCGCUAUAACUAUCCUCACUGACCAUAUAAACCCGUCUCAACAGCAACAAUUCUUCCAUGGAUUCAGCCUUGUUUAAAUUUGUAAAAAUUAGCUACAGAUAUAUGCUGCAGUUCUGAUUUCAAUUGGACUGUACAUACCAACUUAUAAGUUCAUUGUAUUAGGUGUUUCUAUGUCUACUAUCCAUAGUCCCUUUCAUUUGCUUAAAAGUUUACUGUACAUAUAAUAGUUUAAGGACUUGAGCCUUGUACCUUUACAUUUUAUAAUGAAGUAGGCAGGACUAGAAUUAGGCCGUCUUUUCUGCCUUUGCUUAGAAAGAGGUUUGGAUAUUCACUAUUCAAGGAAAGUUCUACUAUUGUGAAACAUAUUGUGACCAAAUAACAUCAUAAAAUUGGACAAAAUAUGUAAUUGGAAAUGGGUAAGUUAAGUUCCUAGGUCGUAAUUAUAAAGAAAAGACCUCAACAGUUUACAACUUGCACAGAAUGCUUAUAGCUUUUCGUUCUUUGCAUUAAGUUAUUAAUUACAACUAUGAGAGUAUGAUUGACGAGCUACCAAUAAGUCGAAAAAGCUCUACUUUCGAAAGUUUAUUAGAUGGAUUUUAAGGAUUAGAUAGCAUCAUUUUUACCAAGCAAGAAAAUUUAGAAAGGCAAGCAAUUUGUUUGAGAAGAAUAACCCCAAUGUCUAAUAGACGUGAAGGCAACCAGUUACCCGUUAGACUAAAGCACAGACAUGAACGAAUCUCAAAAUUUUAAGUGAAAGCAGCACAAGCAUAAUCGGACAGAAGUAAAAGAAUGUGUUUAUCAAAAAUAUUACCAGAAAAAAAAAAAAGGAGCAGCGAAACGAUUUUUCUGAAUAACCAAGACAGCGAACAACGAAGAUCGAACAUCGAUAGCAAACAUCGAACAAAGAAAAUCUCAUGGUUUCAAACAGAAAAUCAAAACCUAAUAAAUGAAUCCCCCAAUUUCGCAAACUAGAAAUCACAAAAUGUAUCAUGUAAUACAAACAAAGCAUAAGAAAAAUAAUGGGUUUAUCGGAACUAUUACCAAAUAAAGAAAACAUAAGGGAAAAAAGAAAGCUAAAAUCGAAUAGUUAUACAAACAUCAAACAGGGGAAAAAUCAAUAGCCUACCUCGGAGAUUGCUCGUAUGUUAGCCGAAACUGGUCAUCAUUCACCGGCAGUUAUCGUCCUUCGCCCGAGCUGGCCGACAGAGCUCGUCGAUGGUGAGGUCGAUGUGUUCUAGGUUGAGGCUGAGAGAGACGAUAUCUAAUUCAAGGUUUUGAGAGAGAGAGAGUGACGGAACAUUCCAUAAUAAUGUUUUAAUUUAAAAAAUAUAUUAAAGAGUUAU